AGACUCCGAAAACUCCGCAAAAUAAGUAAUGACGCACGGAACGGAGCGGUAUAAAACAAAUCGCCUGUUCAGAAUAACAAUAGAAGGCGCCGAACUCACUGUAGAAGUGGGUUCGGCGCCU
This 121-nucleotide non-coding RNA is filed under the name Paenibacillus illinoisensis. The record is from RNAcentral. Lineage: Bacteria; Bacillati; Bacillota; Bacilli; Caryophanales; Paenibacillaceae.